RNAcentral lists this unclassified non-coding RNA (210 nucleotides) under Hevea brasiliensis (rubber tree). The record is from RNAcentral. Lineage: Eukaryota; Viridiplantae; Streptophyta; Magnoliopsida; Malpighiales; Euphorbiaceae.
GCUUAUCAUUCAAAGCCGCAGUACUAGCGCUCCGUGAACCCAUAGCCGAAAAAUGCCUAACCCACGUUACUGCCACUUUCUCCGAUGGAUUCGCCGGAAAACCAUGCAAAAGUCCGGCAGCGACUCCACCAACAACUCCGGUCCCGGGAUUAUUUCGCAGAACUGUAGUUGAAAAGUAACGUGGACCCAUAUGACCCAUGACAACUCGUG